Molecule: transfer RNA, 68 nt
Filed under: Nitidulidae sp. KM-2017
Lineage: Eukaryota; Metazoa; Arthropoda; Insecta; Coleoptera; Nitidulidae
Description: tRNA-Asp
Source: RNAcentral
AAAAAAUUAGUUAAAAAAAAUAACAUUAACUUGUCAAGUUAAAAUUAUUAAUUAUUUAAUAUUUUUUA